Molecule: ribosomal RNA, 460 nt
Filed under: uncultured bacterium
Lineage: Bacteria
Description: partial 16S ribosomal RNA
Rfam family: Bacterial small subunit ribosomal RNA
Source: RNAcentral
CCUACGGGCGGCAGCAGUGAGGAAUAUUGGUCAAUGGGCGAGAGUCUGACCCAGCCAAGUAGCGUGAAGGAUGACUGCCCUAUGGUUUGUAAACUUCUUUUAUAAAGGAAUAAAACGAGGCACGUGUGCCUUUUUGAAUGUACUUUAUGAAUAAGGAUCGGCUAACUCCGUGCCAGCAGCCGCGGUAAUACGGAGGAUCCGAGCGUUAUCCGGAUUUAUUGGGUUUAAAGGGAGCGUAGAUGGGUUGUUAAGUCAGUUGUGAAAGUUUGCGGCUCAACCGUAAAAUUGCAAUUGAUACUGGCAGUCUUGAGUACAGUAGAGGUAGGCGGAAUUCGUGGUGUAGCGGUGAAAUGCUUAGAUAUCACGAAGAACCCCGAUUGCGAAGGCAGCUUACUAAACUGUGACUGACAUUGAUGCUCGAAAGUGUGGGUAGCAAACAGGAUUAGAUACCCCAGUAGUC